CACAAUAGAGUUGGUAUUUUAUCAAUUGAGAUUAAAGCCUAUUUUUCAAUACAUUCGAGUGUUAUGUAUAUGCGCAUAUGUUAUUUUAAUAUCAAAAGUAGGUAUAUUGAAUUUUUAUAUUUAUUUUACUUAAAAAUAAAUGUUAUAAUUCUAAAAGUCAUUCUUCAUAUAUUAUACAGUAACAAUCUUUUCUUCCAAUCGUAAGGUCAGUUGUGACCGACUAUAUACUUUAGCAUAGUUUUUCUUUAAUUGCUCCACAUAAACAUAAUCAAUUAGGAAGCUUAUCAAAAGUUGUAAUUAAUGUGGCCUUGACAAUUUGAAAUCAUAAAUCUUAAAUUUGGCAAAAAUUUUUAAAUUGUAUUAUAAUCAAUUUUGGUUUCGCCUUAGGAUUGAAAAAGAUAAAACUAGGUAUAACUGAUUUUCACUACUGAAUAUCACCUCAAUGCUAUCAUUGUAAUUGUUUAAUAGAGGCCCAGUUUAAGUAGCAAUUGAGGAAUCGAAAGUCCUAUUCCGAAUUCUGUUAAUCAAACCAAGCUGAUGUUGACUGAAGUUUCAUUUCAA
Teleopsis dalmanni is the source of this 561-nucleotide long non-coding RNA. RefSeq lists it as uncharacterized. The record is from RefSeq and is a predicted model, not a curated record. The transcript has 2 exons. NCBI's taxonomy places the organism in Eukaryota, Metazoa, Arthropoda, Insecta, Diptera, Diopsidae.